This 253-nucleotide ribosomal RNA is filed under the name uncultured bacterium. Its description in RNAcentral is "partial 16S ribosomal RNA". It matches the Rfam family "Bacterial small subunit ribosomal RNA", at positions 524 to 776 of the family's 1533-position model. The record is from RNAcentral.
UCCGAAGGGGGCUAGCGUUGCUCGGAAUCACUGGGCGUAAAGCGCACGUAGGCGGACUCUUAAGUCAGGGGUGAAAUCCUGGAGCUCAACUCCAGAACUGCCUUUGAUACUGAGAGCCUUGAGUUCGGGAGAGGUGAGUGGAACUGCGAGUGUAGAGGUGAAAUUCGUAGAUAUUCGCAAGAACACCAGUGGCGAAGGCGGCUCACUGGCCCGAUACUGACGCUGAGGUGCGAAAGCGUGGGGAGCAAACAGG